RNAcentral lists this ribosomal RNA (468 nucleotides) under uncultured bacterium. Its description in RNAcentral is "partial 16S ribosomal RNA". It matches the Rfam family "Bacterial small subunit ribosomal RNA", at positions 28 to 507 of the family's 1533-position model. The record is from RNAcentral.
GACGAACGCUGGCGGCGUGCUUAACACAUGCAAGUCGAACGGAAAGGCCCUGCUUUUGUGGGGUGCUCGAGUGGCGAACGGGUGAGUAACACGUGAGUAACCUGCCCUUGACUUUGGGAUAACUUCAGGAAGCUGGGGCUAAUACCGGAUAGGAGCUCCUGCUGCAUGGUGGGGGUUGGAAAGUUUCGGCGGUUGGGGAUGGACUCGCGGCUUAUCAGCUUGUUGGUGGGGUAGUGGCUUACCAAGGCUUUGACGGGUAGCCGGCCUGAGAGGGUGACCGGCCACAUUGGGACUGAGAUACGGCCCAGACUCCUACGGGGGGCAGCAGUGGGGAAUAUUGCACAAUGGGCGGAAGCCUGAUGCAGCAACGCCGCGUGCGGGAUGACGGCCUUCGGGUUGUAAACCGCUUUCGCCUGUGACGAAGCGUGAGUGACGGUAAUGGGUAAAGAAGCACCGGCUAACUACGUG